Molecule: unclassified non-coding RNA, 276 nt
Filed under: air metagenome
Description: partial contains small subunit ribosomal RNA, internal transcribed spacer 1, and 5.8S ribosomal RNA
Rfam family: Eukaryotic small subunit ribosomal RNA (bases 1-46)
Source: RNAcentral
AAGUCGUAACAAGGUUUCCGUAGGUGAACCUGCGGAAGGAUCAUUAACGAAUUUCUCAAAGUUGCUUACAGUGCUGUGCGGUCUUUCGCAUGCGUUGACAAGUGACUCUUGAGCAUUUCACACAUCCCUUGUGCACCUUAAGAGGGUAGCUAUUCUGUCUUGAGCACUUCGGUGCUCGAUAGAACAUGUUGCCUUCUCUUACACAACAAAUCUUAUGUCUUGAAUGUACGUUUAUAUUAAACAAAAUAACUUUCAACAACGGAUCUCUUGGCUCUC